RNAcentral lists this ribosomal RNA (618 nucleotides) under uncultured bacterium. Its description in RNAcentral is "bacterial SSU rRNA". It matches the Rfam family "Bacterial small subunit ribosomal RNA", at positions 558 to 1174 of the family's 1533-position model. The record is from RNAcentral.
GCGUAAAGAGCUCGUAGGCGGUUUGUCGCGUCUGCCGUGAAAGUCCGGGGCUUAACUCCGGAUCUGCGGUGGGUACGGGCAGACUUGAGUGAUGUAGGGGAGACUGGAAUUCCUGGUGUAGCGGUGAAAUGCGCAGAUAUCAGGAGGAACACCGAUGGCGAAGGCAGGUCUCUGGGCAUUAACUGACGCUGAGGAGCGAAAGCAUGGGGAGCGAACAGGAUUAGAUACCCUGGUAGUCCAUGCCGUAAACGUUGGGCACUAGGUGUGGGGGACAUUCCACGUUUUCCGCGCCGUAGCUAACGCAUUAAGUGCCCCGCCUGGGGAGUACGGCCGCAAGGCUAAAACUCAAAGGAAUUGACGGGGGCCCGCACAAGCGGCGGAGCAUGCGGAUUAAUUCGAUGCAACGCGAAGAACCUUACCAAGGCUUGACAUGAACCGGAACGGCGCAGAGAUGUGUCGGCCACUUGUGGCCGGUUUACAGGUGGUGCAUGGUUGUCGUCAGCUCGUGUCGUGAGAUGUUGGGUUAAGUCCCGCAACGAGCGCAACCCUCGUUCCAUGUUGCCAGCGGGUUAUGCCGGGGACUCAUGGGAGACUGCCGGGGUCAACUCGGAGGAAGGU